CCCAGACAUCAAGAGUCAGGCCUGUCGCCUGACACCAACCUGCUCCCGGCAAGGUGGUGCCUUCACAAACGUGAAGGGAUGUGGCCAGACCGGCAAAAACGGGCAUAGUC
Molecule: non-coding RNA, 110 nt
Organism: Acetobacter tropicalis NBRC 101654
Lineage: Bacteria; Pseudomonadati; Pseudomonadota; Alphaproteobacteria; Acetobacterales; Acetobacteraceae
Source: Rfam